Molecule: unclassified non-coding RNA, 2601 nt
Filed under: Monomorium pharaonis (pharaoh ant)
Lineage: Eukaryota; Metazoa; Arthropoda; Insecta; Hymenoptera; Formicidae
Description: uncharacterized LOC105830231, transcript variant X1
Source: RNAcentral
ACCGCGUUGGUGCAUGAACACGUCGCUAUUAUAUUUCGCCCUCGAAAAUUAGUCUUUGUGACAAAAGGUAAUAUGCUAUUAGCGUCAUAUCUGCACCUGGACAUUCCCCGGGAAAUACUAGUACAUCCUGUAUACAUAAACGUGCGCUUAUGUUAAAAAAUCAUUCAAUAGCGUGCCACCGAAUAGUAACGACACGUCAUGUCGCGGUUCUAUACACUCCUAGUGAACGUUGUCGUCGCAAUGAUAAUCAGCGUCGCGAUCACGUCAGAAAGGGUGAAUCGCACUUCUUAUCAGAUCGAAAAACCGAUUAUGACCGGUCGAGUAAGUGAUAUAAUCUCCCCUCGAAAUCGGAAUGUGGUACCAUUUAUCGGUUCGUCUGUACUUUUUCUGCAUCUGUUCAAGUACAAGCCGCAAAUUCAAAUCAAAUAUCAAAAACUAGACACGAUCAAUCCUACUACCGCCGCUCCGGUAAGAGCUUGCAUAUGUGUACUUUUCUAUCUGUGUGACAAUAAUCGGACAAUCAUCACUGAUGGUUCCGGAAUAAUUGACUUACGUGCAGGAGGAAAUACACAACAAUGUACUGGGGACUUGGAGGUCUGCUGUUAUCCGCCAAAUGUUACAGUAACACCUACGACAUUAACAUUUCCAACUAUACGUCCAACAACGCCUACAAUAACAUUUCCAACUAUAUUAUCAACAAUACCUUCGAUAACAUUUCCAACUCUACCGCCAACAUCUCCAACUAUUCCUCCAACUACUUCACCAACUACCUCUCCAACUAUUCCUCCAACUACUUCACCAACUACCUCUCCAACUACUCCUCCAACUACGGCACCACCACUAUUUCCGAACUGCAUUUGCGUGGUGAUAUCGCAAUGCGAUCCUAAUGGAAUAGUCACCAUCUCCGGCGAGGGUAUAAUAAAUCCGCGGUAUGGCCUGUGCCCCGGUAACCUGGUCUGCUGCAGGAUUUUGGUGAAUACCACGACGCAACCACCGACAAUUCCUCCGACCACAAUGACCACAGUACCGCCCACGGUCACCACUAUAACACCUGGACAAGUGCAACUAUGCUUCAUAUGUGGCAAUAGCACUCUAUGUUUAAACUGCACGCUAGUCAUUUCGCUUGGCGGUGGUGGCAUGAUAGAUCCCAGAUUAUCUCAGGUCUUAUCAGAAGGAAAUGUCUGCACGACGGGGAGCAUACCAUCCUGUCAGAGCGGAUCGUCAGGCGCGCUAAUUACGGACCUCGGCCCGCCGAAGAAUUCGGGUACGUCACAGGAAUGUUACUGCGUGAAGACCUGGCUGUGCUCUGAAGGAAACGUGAUCAGUCCGGACGGUCUUGGCGUAAUUGAUUCGAGAUUCACAUUAUGCUCGUCGGUGGACCAAGUCUGCUGUCGGCUCGCAGGGAUUAAUCGUCAAGGUCUUCGCAACGUCGGCACCUCCGUGUCUCCCAGAGAUCUCGUCCCGUGGAACGAACCACUUAAACGCUCAUCUAUAGACACUGUUUGUGGUAUACAGAACAAUGGUUACGCGCCACCGCAACCUUUUCCCUCUGACUCCGAGACAACCUAUUUCGCUGAAUUCCCAUGGAUGGUCGCGCUUCUUUUAAGAUCCACGACCGACGGUCCUUAUGUUUUCCAGUGCGGUGCUUCAGUAGUCAGUAACGGAGCAGUCCUCACUGCUGCCCAUUGCGUUGUGAACCAAAAACCUGAAAAUUUGGUUGCGCGCUUCGGACAGUGGAACCUAAAAAAUAUUACUCAACCAUUACCUAUUCAAGAAGUGAAAAUCCUCGCAAUAAUCGUGCAUCCGUCGUAUUAUAGCGGCGGGCUUUACCACGAUGUAGCUGUCCUUAUUUUAGCAAAACCAGUCACUUAUAGCGCGAAUGUCCUGCCGAUUUGCCUUCCUGAACAAGGUACAGUCCUAUUGACCGGCACCAGGUGCUACGGAAUAGGAUGGGGCAGCGAUUCGUUUGAAUCGCAAGGACGCUAUCAUACUGAGCUUCGAAAAGUGAAUCUUCCUAUUGUCGAUCGAGAGGUUUGUCAGACACGUUUACGAAGCACGAAAUUGGGCCCGUACUUUGAACUGCAUGGAUCGUUUAUUUGCGCCGGCGGCGAAGCAAAUAGAGACACGUGCCGUGGCGACGGCGGUGGACCGUUGAUUUGUCAAGCUACUACGGGUCAGUUCUCUCAGGUUGGCAUCGUAUCGUGGGGUAUUGGUUGUAAAGUAUCUAAUAUACCUGCAGUGUAUGCUAGCGUAUCGCAACAUCGUCAAUGGAUAGAUCAACAGUUCGCAACUUAUGGCGUAUAAUGAUGUGUUCAAGACAUGCGGAGAAGAUUCGUACGAAACAUCAUAAAUAAAACAUCGACUUUAUCAUGCAGUCUACAGAAUGAUUUAUCAAACGUUUAUCCAAAAAUCUCUUUGUUUUUAUCUUGUGUCGAAAUGUUCCUUGCUGCCAAACAGAUAUUCGAAGGACUCACUUACUCAUUAUGGACUUAAGAUCCGUUGGGAGAAAGGAAAACCACGUCGGACCUCAGGGUCAAUGUGUGUAGGUGGGAAUGCCGGUUCUCCAAGUCUCGGAGUAAUAACGAUAUAGCAGAAGAUAAG